GAGUUUGAUCACUGGCUCAAAUUGAACGCUGGCGGCAUGCCUUACACAUGCAAGUCGAACGGCAGCACGGGGGCAACCCUGGUGGCGAGUGGCGAACGGGUGAGUAAUACAUCGGAACGUGUCCUGUAGUGGGGGAUAGCCCGGCGAAAGCCGGAUUAAUACCGCAUACGAUCUACGGAAGAAAGCGGGGGAUCUUCGGACCUCGCGCUAGAGGGGCGGCCGAUGGCAGAUUAGCUAGUUGGUGGGGUAAAGGCCUACCAAGGCGACGAUCUGUAGCUGGUCUGAGAGGACGACCAGCCACACUGGGACUGAGACACGGCCCAGACUCCUACGGGAGGCAGCAGUGGGGAAUUUUGGACAAUGGGGGCAACCCUGAUCCAGCAAUGCCGCGUGUGUGAAGAAGGCCUUCGGGUUGUAAAGCACUUUUGUUCGGGAAGAAAACUUCGAUCCUAAUAUGGUUGGAGGAUGACGGUACCGGAAGAAUAAGCACCGGCUAACUACGUGCCAGCAGCCGCGGUAAUACGUAGGGUGCGAGCGUUAAUCGGAAUUACUGGGCGUAAAGCGUGCGCAGGCGGUCUGUUAAGACCGAUGUGAAAUCCCCGGGCUUAACCUGGGAACUGCAUUGGUGACUGGCA
Molecule: ribosomal RNA, 635 nt
Filed under: uncultured Burkholderia sp.
Lineage: Bacteria; Pseudomonadati; Pseudomonadota; Betaproteobacteria; Burkholderiales; Burkholderiaceae
Description: bacterial SSU rRNA
Rfam family: Bacterial small subunit ribosomal RNA
Source: RNAcentral